CCUUGAGCGCCCGCCUGGCUCCGGGGCCCAGGAGGGCGCUAAAGAUCACGGAAGGCUCGGGAAGGCUGUCCCGACUCCCAGUUAUGUGGAAGAAGCAAAUGAGACCUUAUUCUCUUUGUGUGGAGGUUUUUUUAAGCCGUGGUGGCAAGCCGUAGGUGCACAGCAGUUUCUGAGAAGAUACCGGAGAGUCACACAAGGCGGGAGGACUCUGGUGUCUCCUCCUCCCACCGCUUGGUGUUGCCUGCAGUUUCCAUGGCUCCUGGAAGCCGCGAUUGCGUCAGCAGCUGAGGGUGGAGGAGCUCAGAGAGGCUCCUGUCCCUAGCCCUGACCCGGGCGCCUGGCUCUGAGGGGGACCCACUGAGUCAGAGCCCCACGGACCUGACGCCUGGUGCUGCCUGCUGUUCCCGGCACUCCCAUCACCCCUGGCUACUGGACUGUGCUCACCCACUGAGCCCCACUGAAGGAUGCAGGUGCUCUGACAGGGCCUCUGAGGGAGACUGGGAGCGGUCAGAGAAGAACCUGUGGGUGUGGCUGGCAGAGAGCAGGUGGCAGCGGGCUGAGCUGGCUGGUCGCCUGCGGGCAGCACUGGAGUCCCUGUCUGAGCAAGCACAGGUGCUGCAGAAGCGGGAACGCGAGCUGGGACUCAGCAGGAUCCAGUGUGAGUUGCUGGCUCCGAAGCAGAAAGUGAGGCUCUGGUCCUCUCCUCGUGGUCUUCCUUGCUUGUCCACAGCCCCAGGGAGGUCCCCCGAGCUAGCAAGUUCCCCUUACUAGACUGAAAACCCCAGAAUGCUCAGGGCUGAUGCCCAUAUCUGGUGUCAUAUUCUCAGGAAGAAGGCUUGUCAGGGCCUGGAGCAUCCAAAGGAGACAGAGGGAAAUUGAGUCCCCAACAGGGCUACCAUGUUGAAAGUGUCAUCUCUGUGAAUGGCACCCCCUGGAGGUGUGCAGUGCAUUGCCUGGUGUGGCUGGGAGCAGUGGAUAGAGGCAAAGGAAGGACCAGGGAACCUCUGCCCUUCCCCUCCCAGGUAGAAUAAGAGGGAAGGAGGUGGCUGGUUUUAGCUCAGUGGACAGAAGAGUUUCCUCAGAAGCCCAGUCACCCCUGGUGAAGCUUCAGUCCCCAGGGAGGGGGAGAGGGUUAUGCACACUGAGGCUUCUAGGGGAGGUACCCAGCAUCCCUGCCCCAUGUGAGAGUAUGGACAGUGCUACCCUGUGAUGGCCUAGAUACCUAAGCCUUUAUGUGACCUGGUGGUCUCAGCGCACAGCUGACCCUCCUAGAGCCACUGCUCCCUACCGGCCAGGGAGGACCCUGGGAACCCAGUUGACAUGCCUGCUCACUCUCCAGCAUUCCACAA
Eubalaena glacialis (North Atlantic right whale) is the source of this 1349-nucleotide long non-coding RNA. RefSeq lists it as uncharacterized. The transcript has 4 exons. The record is from RefSeq and is a predicted model, not a curated record. NCBI's taxonomy places the organism in Eukaryota, Metazoa, Chordata, Mammalia, Artiodactyla, Balaenidae.